UACGUAGGUGGCAAGCGAUACUCGGAAUCACUAGGCGUAAAGCGCAGGUAGGCGGUUUGGUAAGUCUUUUGUGAAAGCUCCCGGCUUAACUGGGAGAGGUCAAGGGAAACUACCAGGCUAGAGUGCGGAAGAGGAAACUGGAAUUCCCGGUGUAGUGGUGAAAUGCGUAGAUAUCGGAAGGAACACCUGUGGCGAAAGCGGCUCACUGGACCAUUACUGACGCUGAUGCACGAAAGCUAGGGGAGCAAACAGG
Molecule: ribosomal RNA, 253 nt
Filed under: uncultured bacterium
Lineage: Bacteria
Description: partial 16S ribosomal RNA
Rfam family: Bacterial small subunit ribosomal RNA
Source: RNAcentral